This 253-nucleotide ribosomal RNA is filed under the name uncultured bacterium. RNAcentral's name for it is "partial 16S ribosomal RNA". It matches the Rfam family "Bacterial small subunit ribosomal RNA", at positions 524 to 776 of the family's 1533-position model. The record is from RNAcentral.
UACGAAGGGGGCUAGCGUUGCUCGGAAUGACUGGGCGUAAAGGGCGCGUAGGCGGACUGCUCAGUCAGGCGUGAAAUUCCUGGGCUUAACCUGGGGACUGCGUCUGAGACGUGUGAUCUAGAGCGAGGAAGAGGGUCGUGGAAUUUCCAGUGUAGGGGUGAAAUUCGUAGAUAUUGGUAAGAACACCGGUGGCGAAGGCGGCGACCUGGUCGUUGACUGACGCUGAGGCGCGAAAGCGUGGGGAGCCAACAGG